This 392-nucleotide ribosomal RNA is filed under the name uncultured bacterium. RNAcentral's name for it is "bacterial SSU rRNA". It matches the Rfam family "Bacterial small subunit ribosomal RNA", at positions 30 to 424 of the family's 1533-position model. The record is from RNAcentral.
AUUGAACGCUGGCGGCAUGCCUUACACAUGCAAGUCGAACGGUAACAGCACUUCGGUGGCUGACGAGUGGCGAACGGGUGAGUAAUACAUCGGAACGUGCCCGAGAGUGGGGGAUAACGCAGCGAAAGCUGUGCUAAUACCGCAUACGAUCUACGGAUGAAAGCAGGGGAUUCGCAAGGACCUUGCGCUCAUGGAGCGGCCGAUGGCAGAUUAGGUAGUUGGUGGGAUAAAAGCUUACCAAGCCGACGAUCUGUAGCUGGUCUGAGAGGACGACCAGCCACACUGGGACUGAGACACGGCCCAGACCCCUACGGGAGGCAGCAGUGGGGAAUUUUGGACAAUGGGCGAAAGCCUGAUCCAGCCAUGCCGCGUGCAGGAUGAAGGCCUCGGUU